AUGGAAGAAAUUGUGAAGGCAAGAAAAGAAGCCAACAAGGUGAGGAAAAUGGCAAGAAACCAAGAUGCCGCGGCCGAGGAGAGGAGGUUGGCGGCCGAGGAGAGGAGGGUGGCGGCCGAGGAGAGAAAGGUGGCUUUGGAGGAGAGGAAGGUGAGCAAUGAGGAGCGUACUAAAUUGUUGGAAUGGGAGAAGCACUUGUUCUUCUUGGACACAUCUAAUACGCAAAUGGAGUAUGUCAAUCUAGCCCGUGAAGAAGUCUUGAUCCAAAAAAGAGCCAUGGUUCGUGCAAUGGGUGGCGGUGGCCUCGACGCCAUGGGUGGCAGUGGCUUCGGCGCCAUGGGUGGCUUUGGAGCUUCCCCCGACGCUAUGGCCACCAUGGGAGGCAUGAUUUUUGCUUCUCUCAUGGGAGGCAUGGGUGCACCUCCGGCCGCCAUGGGCGGAAUGUCUUUCGAUGUGCCUCCUCGCACACAUUCCCAUGAAGAUGCCGUUGCAGAUCUUGCCGAUCUUGCCAACACCGUCAGAGCUUCACGUGAUGCGGUGCGCGAUGAAGAGAGGGAGGAAGAUUCAUCUUCGAAGGCGGAAGAAUCGUCUUCUGAAGAUGAGGACGAGGACGAAGACGAGGACAAGGAAUGA
This 633-nucleotide ribosomal RNA is filed under the name Triticum aestivum (bread wheat). Its description in RNAcentral is "partial small subunit ribosomal RNA". The record is from RNAcentral. Lineage: Eukaryota; Viridiplantae; Streptophyta; Magnoliopsida; Poales; Poaceae.